GCGCGAAAACUUUACAAUGCCGGCAACGGCGAUCAGGGGACCUCGCGUGCCAGGUUACACAUCUGGCUGUCGUGAUGCCUAAAAAGCAUUGCAUAGCAAGGGCCGGGCAAGACCGGUGCCAGCCGCCGCGGUAACACCGGCGGCUCGAGUGGUAACCGUUAUUAUUGGGUCUAAAGGGUCUGUAGCCGGCCGGAUAAGUCUCUUGAGAAAUCCAGCAGCUCAACUGUUGGGCUUUCAGGAGAUACUGUCUGGCUCGAGGCCGGGAGAGGUGAGAGGUACUUCAGGGGUAGGGGUGAAAUCUUGUAAUCCUUGAAGGACCACCAGUGGCGAAGGCGUCUCACCAGAACGGACCUGACGGCAAGGGACGAAAGCUAGGGGCACGAACC
RNAcentral lists this ribosomal RNA (386 nucleotides) under uncultured prokaryote. RNAcentral's name for it is "bacterial SSU rRNA". It matches the Rfam family "Archaeal small subunit ribosomal RNA", at positions 339 to 725 of the family's 1478-position model. The record is from RNAcentral.